RNAcentral lists this ribosomal RNA (253 nucleotides) under uncultured bacterium. Its description in RNAcentral is "partial 16S ribosomal RNA". It matches the Rfam family "Bacterial small subunit ribosomal RNA", at positions 524 to 776 of the family's 1533-position model. The record is from RNAcentral.
UACGUAGGGCGCAAGCGUUAUCCGGAAUUAUUGGGCGUAAAGAGCUCGUAGGCGGUCUGUUGCGUCGGCUGUGAAAACCCGGGGCUCAACUCCGGGCCUGCAGCCGAUACGGGCAGACUAGAGUUCGGCAGGGGAGACUGGAAUUCCUGGUGUAGCGGUGAAAUGCGCAGAUAUCAGGAGGAACACCGUUGGCGAAGGCGGGUCUCUGGGCAUUAACUGACGCUGAGGAGCGAAAGCAUGGGGAGCGAACAGG